UCCCUAGGCAAGAUGGUUAGGAGCUA
Molecule: non-coding RNA, 26 nt
Filed under: Rattus norvegicus (Norway rat)
Lineage: Eukaryota; Metazoa; Chordata; Mammalia; Rodentia; Muridae
Source: RNAcentral